UGUAAGCGUAUACCAAAGUUGUUGCAGUUAAAACGCUCGUAGUCGGAAUUUGGCAGUUCCGGAUGUGUGCACGUCGUGUGCGCACUUCGCGGGGAUUGCUUUUGUGGUCUUGCGUAGGAUGAGGCACUUUUAUUAGUGAACGUCCUCACGCAACCACUUUUUACUGUGAGAAAAUCAGAGUGCUCAAAGCAGGCAUUUGCCGUGAAUGCAUUAGCAUGGAAUAAUAGAAUAGGACUCUGUCUUAUUUUGUUGGUUUGUUAGGACCGAGUAAUGAUUAAGAGGGACAGUUGGGGGCAUUCGUAUCUCGUUGUCAGAGGUGAAAUUCUUGGAUUUACGAAAGACGAACUACUGCGAAAGCAUUUGCCAAGAAUGUUUUCAUUAA
Molecule: ribosomal RNA, 382 nt
Filed under: uncultured eukaryote
Lineage: Eukaryota
Description: partial 18S ribosomal RNA
Rfam family: Eukaryotic small subunit ribosomal RNA
Source: RNAcentral